Molecule: ribosomal RNA, 1646 nt
Filed under: Salmonella enterica
Lineage: Bacteria; Pseudomonadati; Pseudomonadota; Gammaproteobacteria; Enterobacterales; Enterobacteriaceae
Also listed under: 1 other name
Description: partial 23S ribosomal RNA
Rfam family: Bacterial large subunit ribosomal RNA
Source: RNAcentral
UAACGGGGCUAAACCAUGCACCGAAGCUGCGGCAGCGACACUGUGUGUUGUUGGGUAGGGGAGCGUUCUGUAAGCCUGUGAAGGUGUGUCGUGAGGCAUGCUGGAGGUAUCAGAAGUGCGAAUGCUGACAUAAGUAACGAUAAAGCGGGUGAAAAGCCCGCUCGCCGGAAGACCAAGGGUUCCUGUCCAACGUUAAUCGGGGCAGGGUGAGUCGACCCCUAAGGCGAGGCCGAAAGGCGUAGUCGAUGGGAAACGGGUUAAUAUUCCCGUACUUGGUGUUACUGCGAAGGGGGGACGGAGAAGGCUAUGUUGGCCGGGCGACGGUUGUCCCGGUUUAAGCGUGUAGGUGUGUGUUCCAGGUAAAUCCGGUUCACUUUAACACUGAGGCGUGACGACGAGGCACUACGGUGCUGAAGCAACAAAUGCCCUGCUUCCAGGAAAAGCCUCUAAGCAUCAGGUAACAUCAAAUCGUACCCCAAACCGACACAGGUGGUCAGGUAGAGAAUACCAAGGCGCUUGAGAGAACUCGGGUGAAGGAACUAGGCAAAAUGGUGCCGUAACUUCGGGAGAAGGCACGCUGACACGUAGGUGAAGUGAUUUACUCAUGGAGCUGAAGUCAGUCGAAGAUACCAGCUGGCUGCAACUGUUUAUUAAAAACACAGCACUGUGCAAACACGAAAGUGGACGUAUACGGUGUGACGCCUGCCCGGUGCCGGAAGGUUAAUUGAUGGGGUCAGCGCAAGCGAAGCUCCUGAUCGAAGCCCCGGUAAACGGCGGCCGUAACUAUAACGGUCCUAAGGUAGCGAAAUUCCUUGUCGGGUAAGUUCCGACCUGCACGAAUGGCGUAAUGAUGGCCAGGCUGUCUCCACCCGAGACUCAGUGAAAUUGAACUCGCUGUGAAGAUGCAGUGUACCCGCGGCAAGACGGAAAGACCCCGUGAACCUUUACUAUAGCUUGACACUGAACAUUGAGCCUUGAUGUGUAGGAUAGGUGGGAGGCUUUGAAGUGUGGACGCCAGUCUGCAUGGAGCCGACCUUGAAAUACCACCCUUUAAUGUUUGAUGUUCUAACGUGGACCCGUUACCCGGGUUGCGGACAGUGUCUGGUGGGUAGUUUGACUGGGGCGGUCUCCUCCUAAAGAGUAACGGAGGAGCACGAAGGUUGGCUAAUCCUGGUCGGACAUCAGGAGGUUAGUGCAAUGGCAUAAGCCAGCUUGACUGCGAGCGUGACGGCGCGAGCAGGUGCGAAAGCAGGUCAUAGUGAUCCGGUGGUUCUGAAUGGAAGGGCCAUCGCUCAACGGAUAAAAGGUACUCCGGGGAUAACAGGCUGAUACCGCCCAAGAGUUCAUAUCGACGGCGGUGUUUGGCACCUCGAUGUCGGCUCAUCACAUCCUGGGGCUGAAGUAGGUCCCAAGGGUAUGGCUGUUCGCCAUUUAAAGUGGUACGCGAGCUGGGUUUAGAACGUCGUGAGACAGUUCGGUCCCUAUCUGCCGUGGGCGCUGGAGAACUGAGGGGGGCUGCUCCUAGUACGAGAGGACCGGAGUGGACGCAUCACUGGUGUUCGGGUUGUCAUGCCAAUGGCACUGCCCGGUAGCUAAAUGCGGAAGAGAUAAGUGCUGAAAGCAUCUAAGCACGAAACUUGCCCCGA